GAUGGACGCUAGCGGCAGGCCUAACACAUGCAAGUCGAGGGGUAGAAGGAGCUUGCUCCUUUGAGACCGGAGCACGGGUGCGUAACGCGUAUGCAAUCUACCUUGUACAGGGGAAUAGCCCAGAGAAAUUUGGAUUAAUGCCCCAUAGUAUAUAACCUUCGCAUGUUGGUUAUAUUAAAGUUCCAACGGUACAAGAUGAGCAUGCGUCCCAUUAGUUAGUUGGUAAGGUAACGGCUUACCAAGACGAUGAUGGGUAGGGGUCCUGAGAGGGAGAUCCCCCAAACUGGUACUGAGGCACGGACCAGACUCCUACGGGAGGCAGCAGUAAGGAAUAUUGGUCAAUGGUCGCAAGACUGAACCAGCCAUGCCGCGUGCAGGAAGACGGUCCUAUGGAUUGUAAACUGCUUUUAUACAGGAAGAAACCCUCCCACGUGUGGGAGCUUGACGGUACUGUAGGAAUAAGGAUCGGCUAACUCCGUG
RNAcentral lists this ribosomal RNA (480 nucleotides) under uncultured bacterium. RNAcentral describes it as "partial 16S ribosomal RNA". It matches the Rfam family "Bacterial small subunit ribosomal RNA", at positions 28 to 507 of the family's 1533-position model. The record is from RNAcentral.